CCUACGGGUGGCAGCAGUGAGGAAUAUUGGUCAAUGGACGAGAGUCUGAACCAGCCAAGUAGCGUGAAGGAUGACUGCCCUAUGGGUUGUAAACUUCUUUUAUAAAGGAAUAAAACGAGGCACGUGUGCCUUUUUGCAUGUACUUUAUGAAUAAGAAUCGGCUAACUCCGUGCCAGCAGCCGCGGUAAUACGGAGGAUGCGAGCGUUAUCCGGAUUUAUUGGGUUUAAAGGGAGCGUAGAUGGGUUGUUAAGUCAGUUGUGAAAGUUUGCGGCUCAACCGUAAAAUUGCAAUUGAUACUGGCAGUCGUGAGUACAGUUGAGGUAGGCGGAAUGCGUGGUGUAGCGGUGAAAUGCUUAGAUAUCACGAAGAACCCCGAUUGCGAAGGCAGCUUACUAAACUGUGACUGACAUUGAUGCUCGAAAGUGUGGGUAUCAAACAGGAUUAGAUACCCUUGUAGUC
This 460-nucleotide ribosomal RNA is filed under the name uncultured bacterium. RNAcentral describes it as "partial 16S ribosomal RNA". It matches the Rfam family "Bacterial small subunit ribosomal RNA", at positions 338 to 795 of the family's 1533-position model. The record is from RNAcentral.